GACGAACGCUGGCGGCGUGCCUAAUACAUGCAAGUCGAGCGAAGUUUUUCUGGUGCUUGCACUAGAAAAACUUAGCGGCGAACGGGUGAGUAACACGUAAAGAACCUGCCUCAUAGACUGGGACAACUAUUGGAAACGAUAGCUAAUACCGGAUAACAGCAUUAACUGCAUGGUUGAUGUUUAAAAGUUGGUUUUGCUAACACUAUGAGAUGGCUUUGCGGUGCAUUAGCUAGUUGGUGGGGUAAAGGCCUACCAAGGCGACGAUGCAUAGCCGACCUGAGAGGGUGAUCGGCCACACUGGGACUGAGACACGGCCCAGACUCCUACGGGAGGCAGCAGUAGGGAAUCUUCCGCAAUGGGCGAAAGCCUGACGGAGCAACGCCGCGUGAGUGAAGAAGGAUUUCGGUUCGUAAAGCUCUGUUGUUAGGGAAGAAUGAUUGUGUAGUAACUAUACACAGUAGAGACGGUACCUAACCAGAAAGCCACGGCUAACUACGUGCCAGCAGCCGCGGUAAUACGUAGGUGGCAAGCGUUGUCCGGAAUUAUUGGGCGUAAAGCGCGCGCAGGUGGUUUAAUAAGUCUGAUGUGAAAGCCCACGGCUCAACCGUGGAGGGUCAUUGGAAACUGUUAAACUUGAGUGCAGGAGAGAAGAGUGGAAUUCCUAGUGUAGCGGUGAAAUGCGUAGAGAUUUAGGAGGAACACCAGUGGCGAAGGCGGCUUUUUGGCCUGUAACUGACACUGAGGCGCGAAAGCGUGGGGAGCAAACAGG
This 769-nucleotide ribosomal RNA is filed under the name uncultured bacterium. Its description in RNAcentral is "bacterial SSU rRNA". It matches the Rfam family "Bacterial small subunit ribosomal RNA", at positions 28 to 776 of the family's 1533-position model. The record is from RNAcentral.